GAGUCACCUAUUGUAUGAUUCCAUUUAUAUGAAAUAUCCAAAAUAGCUGUCCUGGGUGGCAUGAGAACCAUGAGCUGAGGAUUGGACAAGCUUGCUCUACAAUAUUCAAAGGCCACAGAUCAGCCCUGGGGUUCAGAGGGAUCCUGACGGCUACUCCUCAAGAUCCUCUCUGUUGUGAUUCAUCCCCCCCAGGCCCUACAGUUUCUCCUUCCUGACUCUUACAUUUCUUUGGAUGGCAUCACUAUUGCUGGAGUGCAGUGGUGUGAUCUCAGCUCACUGCAACCCCUGCCUCCUGGAUUCAAGCAAUUCUCCUGCCUCAGCCUCCCAAGUAGCUGGGAUUGCAGUACCUGUCUCCUCCCAUAGUUAGUUGCCAAGCACUGUGGAUUCUACCCCUCAGGGUCCAGACACCCAUUUUCCUUCCCACUGUUCCCUCCCCAUGGAGAAGCCUGUGGCUGACUGACAGCUCAACUUGGAGAAGGUGUUACCUGGGCCAGGUGGGGAAGGUAGGGUUGUUUGCAGAGCAAAGAAGUGAAGGAAGUAUUAACCCUUUGCAUGGCCUCCUGAGAAUCUGACAAGACGUAAAUAGCCAAGAAUAUCUGUGGAACUUAAUCAGUGAGUUACAAUAUUUAUCACUGCAAGUGUGUUGUUCAUUGACACUAUAAAGCCAUAUGGAAUUAAGCAGCCUUGAAACACAAAAUGGAGAAAGGCUAAGAGCUGAGAAUUGUUGCCUUCAGGGAAAUAUAAUCAAUGUCAAGCAAACAACCACCCC
Molecule: non-coding RNA, 769 nt
Filed under: Pongo abelii (Sumatran orangutan)
Lineage: Eukaryota; Metazoa; Chordata; Mammalia; Primates; Hominidae
Source: RNAcentral